Molecule: ribosomal RNA, 387 nt
Filed under: uncultured bacterium
Lineage: Bacteria
Description: bacterial SSU rRNA
Rfam family: Bacterial small subunit ribosomal RNA
Source: RNAcentral
AACGAACGCUGGCGGCAUGCCUAACACAUGCAAGUCGAACGAGACCUUCGGGUCUAGUGGCGCACGGGUGCGUAACGCGUGGGAAUCUGCCCUUGGGUUCGGAAUAACUCAGAGAAAUUUGAGCUAAUACCGGAUGAUGACGAAAGUCCAAAGAUUUAUCGCCCAGGGAUGAGCCCGCGUAAGAUUAGCUUGUUGGUGGGGUAAUGGCCUACCAAGGCGACGAUCUUUAGCUGGUCUGAGAGGAUGAUCAGCCACACUGGGACUGAGACACGGCCCAGACUCCUACGGGAGGCAGCAGUGGGGGAAUAUUGGACAAUGGGCGCAAGCCUGAUCCAGCAAUGCCGCGUGAGUGAUGAAGGCCCUUAGGGUUGUAAAGCCUUCUUACGA